This 250-nucleotide long non-coding RNA is filed under the name Mytilus galloprovincialis (Mediterranean mussel). Lineage: Eukaryota; Metazoa; Mollusca; Bivalvia; Mytilida; Mytilidae. The record is from RNAcentral.
UCCGCGGUCACAAUGUAUUUAAUGUUAACAAUUAUAGGUCUAAGUACGGCCUUCAAGACGGAGCCUUGGCUCACCCCGAACGGCAAUCUCAGCUUGUUUUUGCAUAAAAGUUGCUUCCAGGUUCAAGCAAUACUGAUGUUUCUUAAAGUAAGGAAAUCGAAGGGAAACGGGUCAUUUUUAGCCAAUGACUGAGAGAACAAAAUCGGCAUCAAUCGGUGGCCCCAAACCCCUGCCUCCCCUGAAUUCGAAC